RNAcentral lists this long non-coding RNA (322 nucleotides) under Physcomitrium patens. Its description in RNAcentral is "long non-coding RNA (PPAT_LNC002500)". The record is from RNAcentral. Lineage: Eukaryota; Viridiplantae; Streptophyta; Bryopsida; Funariales; Funariaceae.
GUUGACUUGUUUUAUAAUUAUUUUAGGACAUGCCAUUUAUCUUUGACAGAUAAUAGCUAACUCUAAUAUUGGUCCUCGAUGCCUUUAUUAAAGAACCUUGUUUUCUUGCUCUAUCUUAUUAUUAACUUACUGACUUUCAAGACUAUGAACUUACCUUCUUUUGUUGGUGCUUAAAUUUUCAUGUUUUGGACAACCUCCAGUUUGUUAGUCUAGCUCUUGAUAAUAGAAACACAAUUUCUUUUUCACAAAUAUUUGUCAUCUUUGUAGCAUUAAUGAUUCUUGUAGAACAUCAACCUCCAUUAGUAUUGAUUGUUGUGGCAUA